This 764-nucleotide ribosomal RNA is filed under the name uncultured Weissella sp. RNAcentral's name for it is "bacterial SSU rRNA". It matches the Rfam family "Bacterial small subunit ribosomal RNA", at positions 100 to 851 of the family's 1533-position model. The record is from RNAcentral. Lineage: Bacteria; Bacillati; Bacillota; Bacilli; Lactobacillales; Lactobacillaceae.
GAACGGGUGAGUAACACGUGGGAACCUACCUCUUAGCAGGGGAUAACAUUUGGAAACAGAUGCUAAUACCGUAUAACAAUAGCAACCGCAUGGUUGCUACUUAAAAGAUGGUUCUGCUAUCACUAAGAGAUGGUCCCGCGGUGCAUUAGUUAGUUGGUGAGGUAAUGGCUCACCAAGACGAUGAUGCAUAGCCGAGUUGAGAGACUGAUCGGCCACAAUGGGACUGAGACACGGCCCAUACUCCUACGGGAGGCAGCAGUAGGGAAUCUUCCACAAUGGGCGAAAGCCUGAUGGAGCAACGCCGCGUGUGUGAUGAAGGGUUUCGGCUCGUAAAACACUGUUGUAAGAGAAGAAUGACAUUGAGAGUAACUGUUCAAUGUGUGACGGUAUCUUACCAGAAAGGAACGGCUAAAUACGUGCCAGCAGCCGCGGUAAUACGUAUGUUCCAAGCGUUAUCCGGAUUUAUUGGGCGUAAAGCGAGCGCAGACGGUUAUUUAAGUCUGAAGUGAAAGCCCUCAGCUCAACUGAGGAAUUGCUUUGGAAACUGGAUGACUUGAGUGCAGUAGAGGAAAGUGGAACUCCAUGUGUAGCGGUGAAAUGCGUAGAUAUAUGGAAGAACACCAGUGGCGAAGGCGGCUUUCUGGACUGUAACUGACGUUGAGGCUCGAAAGUGUGGGUAGCAAACAGGAUUAGAUACCCUGGUAGUCCACACCGUAAACGAUGAGUGCUAGGUGUUUGAGGGUUUCCGCCCUUAAGUGCCGCAG